This 938-nucleotide ribosomal RNA is filed under the name Staphylococcus aureus. RNAcentral's name for it is "partial 23S ribosomal RNA". It matches the Rfam family "Bacterial large subunit ribosomal RNA", at positions 1603 to 2542 of the family's 2925-position model. Lineage: Bacteria; Bacillati; Bacillota; Bacilli; Caryophanales; Staphylococcaceae. The record is from RNAcentral.
CACUGCCGAGAAAAGCCUCUAGAUAGAAAAUAGGUGCCCGUACCGCAAACCGACACAGGUAGUCAAGAUGAGAAUUCUAAGGUGAGCGAGCGAACUCUCGUUAAGGAACUCGGCAAAAUGACCCCGUAACUUCGGGAGAAGGGGUGCUCUUUAGGGUUAACGCCCAGAAGAGCCGCAGUGAAUAGGCCCAAGCGACUGUUUAUCAAAAACACAGGUCUCUGCUAAACCGUAAGGUGAUGUAUAGGGGCUGACGCCUGCCCGGUGCUGGAAGGUUAAGAGGAGUGGUUAGCUUCUGCGAAGCUACGAAUCGAAGCCCCAGUAAACGGCGGCCGUAACUAUAACGGUCCUAAGGUAGCGAAAUUCCUUGUCGGGUAAGUUCCGACCCGCACGAAAGGCGUAACGAUUUGGGCACUGUCUCAACGAGAGACUCGGUGAAAUCAUAGUACCUGUGAAGAUGCAGGUUACCCGCGACAGGACGGAAAGACCCCGUGGAGCUUUACUGUAGCCUGAUAUUGAAAUUCGGCACAGCUUGUACAGGAUAGGUAGGAGCCUUUGAAACGUGAGCGCUAGCUUACGUGGAGGCGCUGGUGGGAUACUACCCUAGCUGUGUUGGCUUUCUAACCCGCACCACUUAUCGUGGUGGGAGACAGUGUCAGGCGGGCAGUUUGACUGGGGCGGUCGCCUCCUAAAAGGUAACGGAGGCGCUCAAAGGUUCCCUCAGAAUGGUUGGAAAUCAUUCAUAGAGUGUAAAGGCAUAAGGGAGCUUGACUGCGAGACCUACAAGUCGAGCAGGGUCGAAAGACGGACUUAGUGAUCCGGUGGUUCCGCAUGGAAGGGCCAUCGCUCAACGGAUAAAAGCUACCCCGGGGAUAACAGGCUUAUCUCCCCCAAGAGUUCACAUCGACGGGGAGGUUUGGCACCUCGAUGUCGGCUCAUCG